This 1684-nucleotide ribosomal RNA is filed under the name Picea glauca (white spruce). RNAcentral describes it as "bacterial LSU rRNA". It matches the Rfam family "Bacterial large subunit ribosomal RNA". Lineage: Eukaryota; Viridiplantae; Streptophyta; Pinopsida; Pinales; Pinaceae. The record is from RNAcentral.
UCUCUUGAGCAUUGUUGCUUCUUUCUUUGGAGGUCGAUUGAAUCGUCAUGUAUCUUGUUCUUUUUUUAAAUCCUUGAAUUUUUGAGGUCUCGUCUCUAUAGUAGACCAAUUAGUUAACAUACCACCAAGCCAUUUUCUAUUUACAUAAUGACAUCGAGAUUUUGUAGCAGUUGAUGCUACUAAAUCAGUUGCUUGAUAUUUUGCACCGACUAUCAGGAAUUUUUUUCCCCUACCUGCUAUAUCAAACGAAAAAUCACAAGCUUCUGAUAAAGAAAAGGUGUGGACGAAGCAGAAGCGAGAAUGUUGGCUUGAGUAACAUAAACAUUGGUGAGAAUCCAAUUCCCCGAAAACCUAAGGGUUCCUCCGCAAGGUUCAUCCACGGAGGGUGAUUCAGGGCCUAAGAUCAGGCUGAAAGGUGUAGUUGAUGGACAACAAGUUAAUAUUCUUGUACUAAACCUUUUUGGUCUUGAGGGAUGGAGGAGGCUAGGUUAGCCAAAAGAUUGUUAUCGGUUCAAGGACGCAAGGUGACCCUACUUUUUUCAAGGUAAGAAGGGGUAGAUAAAAUGCCUCGAGCCAAUGUCCGAGUACCAAGCGCUACAGUGUUGAAGUAACCCAUGCCAUACUCCCAGGAAAAUCUCGAACGACCUUUAACAAAUGGUUACCUGUACCUGAAAUCAACACACGUAGCUAGGUAGAGAAUACCUAUGGGCGUGAGACAACUCUCUCUAAGGAACUCGACAAAAUAUCCCCAUAACUUUGGGAGAAGUGGUGCCUCCUCAGGAGGUCGCAUUCACUAGGCCCGAGUGAUUGUUUACCAAAAACACAGGUCUCUGCAAAGUCAUAAGACCAUGUAUGGGGGUUGACACCUGCCCAGUUUCAGAAGGUUAAGGAUGUUGGUGACCUGAUGACGGGGAAUCCAGCGACCGAAGCCCCAGUAAACGGUGGUCGUAACUAUAUUGUUCCUAAGGUAGCGAAAUUCCUUGUCGAGUAAGUUUUGACCCGCACGAAAGGCAUAAUGAUCUGGGCAUUGUCUCGGAGAGAGACUCAGUGAAAUCAACAUGUCUGUGAAGAUGUGGACUACCUGCACCUGGACAGAAAUACCUUAUGAAGCUUUGUUGUUCCCUGGGAUUGUCUUUGGGUUCUUCUUGCGCAUCUUAGAUGUAAGGUGAAGAAGGCUCCCUUCUAGGGGGUCCUGAGCCACCAGUGAGAUACCACUCUAGAAGAGUUAGAAUUCUAACCUUGUGUCAGGAUCUACGGGCCAAGGGACAAUCUCAGGUAGACAUUUUCUAUGGGGCAUAGGCCUCCCAAAAGGUAACAGAGGCGUGAAAAGGUUUCCUCGAGAUGGAUGAAAAUCGGCCCUCGAGUGCAAAGGCAGAAGGGAGCUUCACUGCAAGACCCACCCGUCGAGCAGGGACGAAAGUCGGCCUUAGUGAUCCGACAGUGCCGAGUGGAAGGGUUGUCGCUCAACGGAUAAAAUUUACUCUAGGGAUAACAGGUUGAUCUUCCCCAGGAGUUCACAUCGACGGGAAGGUUUGGCACCUCAAUGUCGGCUCUUCACCACCUGGGGCGGUAGUACAUUCCAAGGGUUGGGUUGCUCGCCCAUUAAAGAGGUACAUGAGUUGGGUUCAGAACGUCGUGUGACAGUUCAUUCCAUAUCCGGUGUGGGCAUUAGUUCAUUGAGAGG